This 465-nucleotide ribosomal RNA is filed under the name uncultured bacterium. RNAcentral describes it as "partial 16S ribosomal RNA". It matches the Rfam family "Bacterial small subunit ribosomal RNA", at positions 28 to 507 of the family's 1533-position model. The record is from RNAcentral.
GACGAACGCUGGCGGCGUGCUUAACACAUGCAAGUCGAACGGAAAGGCCCCUUUGGGGGUACUCGAGUGGCGAACGGGUGAGUAACACGUGCGUAACCUGCCCUUGACUUCGGGAUAACUUCAGGAAACUGGGGCUAAUACCGGAUAGGAAUCCUUGCUGCAUGGUGGGGGGUGGAAAGCUUCGGGGGGUUUGGAUGGACUCGCGGCUUAUCAGCUUGUUGGUGGGGUAGUGGCUUACCAAGGCUUUGACGGGUAGCCGGCCUGGGAGGGCGACCGGCCAAAUUGGGACUGGGAUACGGCCCAGACUCCUACGGGGGGCAGCAGUGGGGAAUAUUGCACAAUGGGCGGAAGCCUGAUGCAGCAACGCCGCGUGCGGGAUGACGGCCUUCGGGUUGUAAACCGCUUUCAGCAGGGGCGAAGCUUGUGGUGACGGUACCUGCAGAAGAAGCACCGGCUAACUACGUG